RNAcentral lists this ribosomal RNA (238 nucleotides) under uncultured Lactobacillus sp. RNAcentral's name for it is "partial 16S ribosomal RNA". It matches the Rfam family "Bacterial small subunit ribosomal RNA", at positions 123 to 356 of the family's 1533-position model. Lineage: Bacteria; Bacillati; Bacillota; Bacilli; Lactobacillales; Lactobacillaceae. The record is from RNAcentral.
AACCUGCCCAAGAGAUCGGGAUAACACCUGGAAACAGAUGCUAAUACCGGAUAACAACAGAUGAUGCCUAUCAACUGUUUAAAAGAUGGUUCUGCUAUCACUCUUGGAUGGACCUGCGGUGCAUUAGCUAGUUGGUAGGGUAACGGCCUACCAAGGCGAUGAUGCAUAGCCGAGUUGAGAGACUGAUCGGCCACAUUGGGACUGAGACACGGCCCAAACUCCUAGGGAGGCAGCAGCG